CUACGGGCUGCUCCAGUGAGGAAUAUUGCUCAAUGGGGGGAACCCUGAUGCAGCAACGCCGCGUGGAGGAUGACGCAUUUCGGUGUGUAAACUCCUUUUAUAUGUCAAGAAAAUGACGGUAGCAUAUGAAUAAGCACCGGCUAACUCCGUGCCAGCAGCCGCGGUAAUACGGAGGGUGCAAGCGUUACUCGGAAUCACUGGGCGUAAAGGACGCGUAGGCGGGUUGGAAAGUCAGGUGUGAAAUCCUACAGCUUAACUGUAGAACUGCACUUGGAGCUUCUAAUCUAGAGUAUGGGAGGGGGAGAUGGAAUUAGUGGUGUAGGGGUAAAAUCCGUAGAUAUCACUAGGAAUACCUAAAGCGAAGGCGAUCUCCUGGAACAUUACUGACGCUAAGGCGUGAAAGCGUGGGGAGCAAACAGGAUUAGAUACCCCAGUAGUC
This 439-nucleotide ribosomal RNA is filed under the name uncultured bacterium. RNAcentral's name for it is "partial 16S ribosomal RNA". It matches the Rfam family "Bacterial small subunit ribosomal RNA", at positions 339 to 795 of the family's 1533-position model. The record is from RNAcentral.